CCUGCUGGUGUAAACAUACCUCUGAUUGGGACUCACUGAUGUAAUGGACAAACAAGCACAAAAUGUGUCGAUAUCCAGAUCAAAUCUCCCAGACACUUAACUGUGUGUUCUACUUACCCGUUCGGGUCUCUCCAGCCUGAGACGGAAGCUCUAGUGGUGUUGGUUGUGUUCUGGAAGACCUGAGGGACACAACGGCUACCAUGCACAUCUGCAUCCUGUAUGUGGCUGAGGGGGGUUCCCAGCUGAACUUGGCUGAGGUCAGUGUCUGGUCAAAUGGAGUCGGGCCUGUGUGUCUGUGGGGGUGCAGAUGAAGUGGUCAGCGGUGUGACAGUUAGCGGGGAUUCUGACAGCCCCAGGUCCAGUGUGGAUUAGAGAGCCUCACGGAUUUAUGAAGAAUCCAGAAAUGUGUGUCAUCAUUAUGGAAAAAGGUGUCGAUGUGUGCGAUGCCAGGAAAGGUCAGGAGAUGAUUUACUGAACAUUUAUGGAGGCUUUAUCUUCAGUCCUUGUCACCAAGUCGGGCGAUGCUUCAUAGUGGGUCGCCAAACAUACGUGGAAAAAGAGAGAGCGGGACAACGCCACAACCCCUGAGUUCCGCAAUGACACAGUCUUUAACCAGUCCAACUCUUGGCAGGUACAGAAUACUAAAGGACCAUUUUAUUUCUAAAUGAGUCUGGAUGGCGCACCACAAAUACUGGAAAUGCUACUGCCCUUUCAUUUUAAAUGGCUAUCGGGUUCAUCCUACACAUAAAACCCAUCACAGAAAAUGAAUAUAAGCGGUAGGAGAAGAGACUGGAGAUGUGAACUGUCCCUCUGGAACGGGCUGCCAUUAAGUUUACUAAAAAUGUCUGAUGGUUUCACCCAGACAGUUAGGAGAGCUGUGUCUAAACGGGAUCCAGAUCUCUGCUUACUAAUUCCUGUGAUCCACCUGCUCUGAAGCCCAGUCGUUGUGGCCGAGUGUUCUGCACUACAGAUGGCGCUGGAUGAGGGAAGCUGGGUCAUGCUGAAGGACUGACCACAGUGCUUCAUCAUACCGAGGGAAAGUGACCCCAAAGGUCACAGCACACACACAGGCUUAAUUUUAGAGCAAUUAAUCUCCUCUCAAGAGAGUUUUAUGUGUGAGCAUGUGUGUGGGUGUGUCGCUGUGCUGUAGUUAGAGCCGGCCGUCAGCUGUCCGGCCAAGGUGGAGGCCCAACCAUCUUAUCGUCCAGGAGAAGCUUAAUAUGAGGAGAUUAGAUGGCACGGAGGAGAUUACUGCUUGGCCUUUAAUGCAUCGUUCUCUUACCUAACAGGAACCUGAUCUAAAUCCACCACAGGGUAACAAGGCCAUCACUCUGUCCAACAUACACAAGAGGACAUGUAACGUACACACACAUAGAUACACAACAGAUGAUGAGUGGGUGGCAAAAAAACAAACAAAAAAAAGCUCAGAUGAAACAGCAAUGGAAAUGAAAGAGGUGGAGCUUUCAGUGAGAGAGAGUGAAAGAGUGAGGUGGGAUGGAAGAGGUGUUCCCCAUAUAAAAGCCUCUUCACUGGUUUGGAAAAUUAGCUGGGCCCUGUGGUCUACUGGAGCCUUUUAUUUAUUGAUGUAAAGAAAGAUAACCACGCCACCUUCCGUAUUCGCUCCAUUUGCAUGAGCGAGGGAAGAUUAGGAGUGAAAAUCAAACCAAAUAAAUAAAUCCCUCUUUUUCCCUCUCUUCACCUCCCCUUCCCUUCCCAGAUACACACUCAUCCCUCUGCCAUAAUAAACGUUUUGCAAAAAGUCGCAACAAAGUUUAUUUUUCAGACAAUCACUGCCAGACUAUUCAGUGGAUGUAUGCUAUAUUAAUCUCAAAGCUCAAAGAACUUUGUUUAUUGGCUGCAAAGGUUGGAAAGUAAAAGCUGCCCAACGUAACCAUCAAAUUAAACUGGUAUAAACAACCGUGCUGUAAAUGCACGCUUGUAUAUGUGAGUGGUGUACAGUAUUUAAGAAUAGCAGUGUUUUAGCAGCUUAACAUCUUCUGCAGAAUUUUGAAAGUCACGUAUCCAUUCACGAGUCUCACACUGAUGUCUAAAUGGGGUCCAGUCUCAGAGAAGUGUAAAGCAGAAGGGAAUCUAAUCAGUUUUGCUUGCUCUGAAUGCCGGUUUGAAUGUGUUUGAGUAACAGUGCUAAAUCCACCUUCUAAUGUCUCUUCAUCACAUUGGUUUCUCACUUUCUCCUGAGCAGGAAACCAAUAAAUAUUUUAGCACUAACUGAAUUAAGAAUGCCCUUUAAAUUCCAAUUUAAUUCUGGAUUUGAAUUAAGGUAGCAAACAAGAUGCAAAAUUGCAAUUUCAAUUUGAAUAGAAGGCAGUAUAGAAUUAAAUGAAUUUAAGUUCAAAGAAAUUCUUGUUGCUAGUGUUAUUUAACAUUAUUUAUAUACAUAAUAUAAAUUGAGUUUAAUUUUAAUAUGUUGGUACUUAUUUCAUUUGACAGGGCAACAUUUGUAAUUUUUGUUAAAGAUUUGUUUUUUCAUAUAAUAUUUAUACUUUAUUGCAUUUCAACUAAACUUCAAAUAGGAAAAAAACUAUUCUAAUAUUGUAUUGGUGUAAUUUUUUACUAGAAAAUAAAAGUUUGCAAAGACACUUUAAAUAUUGGGUUGACAAAGCUGUUGUAAAGUUUAAAAAAUUCUAAAAAGCAUUGGAAUUUGAAGGCCUAAUAUAUAGAAUAGAUGGAAGGACAGAGAGCAUUUCCAAGAAUUUUGAUUGAUUGAUUGAUUGAUUGAUUGAUUGAUUGAUUGAUUGAUUGAUUGAUUGAUUGAUUGAUCAUUAAAUUCCUAUCAUUCCAUUUCAAAUUCCAUGUCAACUUUCUAUGGGGUUUGGCUAAUUUGAUUCAAAUUUAAUCUCAUGAAUUCUUUAAUUUUGUACAACCCUUACAUGGACAUCCAGAGAAGAGGGGCUUUAAAAAUUAGGCCACUAAUGCUUUCAUCCACCCUUAUGUGUGGAUGAAAAGAGGCUCUGAGUGUGUAUGUGUGUGCCGGGAUGCAAGAGUACACUGCUCCUCCUCCAGGAUUCCUCUUCGGGGCAGAAAAUGGGCAUGUGCUUGUGGUCCAGUGAAGCCCAGCCUGAGCUCAGCUCUUGCACCUCUGCCCCGCUCUGCCUCCAGAUGUGGCCUCAGCGGCUUUUUCUCGUGUGGAUUGAAUUCAGCAUUAUGUCUUUGCACAGUGUCCUCUUCUAUUUUCUCCUCUCCGUUCUUCUUUGCUGUCCUCUCCUCAUUGUUCUUUCAGCUCAUCCGGCUAAUGAACCAGUACAAGUACAAAGUACAUUUUAUAAGAGAGAUAGCCAAAUAUUCACAGGGGACAUAAAACCCCACAUAACAACAGCACAGAUGGAGCAGAAGCACAUGACACACAGCCCCCGUUCAGAAAAAAACAAAAAAAAUAUGAUGAUUGUCUAUAUCAAACAGCCUCUUUUUCUACCUACUAUUACUGUCUCUUUUUGUCUUCUCUUGUCCACCUGUGUCCCAGCAGCAAUUAAGGACCCUGGUGGAUCCAAUCAAGGAAUCACACGAAUGGCUGAAUAUGGUGGACUUGUGAAAGAUCAGGGCAUUCAGGCUGGUGACAUUCCUCCUGGCGAGCAGAUCCAUCCUGGGCCGGGGGUGAAAAAUGCAGCACCGCGCUACUGCUCAGCUGCAGAUGAAUGGAGCUAUCUGUCUUGUCACGAGGGGUCGGCUGGAGAGGUUACAGCCCAACUGUACCUGGUCUCUGAUGCUGAUGCCUGCACGCCGCUUCCCUUUACAAGAGAAGAAACAUAAAAACAGAAGAGAGGGAGAGACAGAGAGAGGGAGAAACAAAUCCUGCCCCAUCAAGCACUUCUUCAGUCCCUCCAGAGCCCAUCUCACUUCCCAUCAUCCCGAAGUCCUGCUGCCCUGAGCGCAGGCUUUGACACAUCUAUAUGUUUUUCCUUCUGACCUUUCAACGUCCUUUCUGUCAGUGCCUGUAAACCAUAAGCUGAUGUAUGAGGGCAAUUUUUAGCGGUGCCACUUGUAUCUGAGUGAUUGCGCACACUUUACAUUUGGGGGGUCUGCCACCCUGCCACCUCCUCAACAUCUCUUUAUUUGCUUUGCUUGAUAUUGAGGCAGAGAAACUGAGGGGAAGGAAUAAAAAGAGUGGAUGGGGAGGGGACGGUGGAGCCCAUUCAACCUCUGGGCAACAGGUCUGUACUUUAUCAGUCCAGCGAGCUGAGCCCUCAGGCCAGGCCUGACCAAUCACUCCUUGGAAACAGGUACUUGAACAAACAUCAACAUCAGUGAGACAGACUCCUGUACAAAGGGUUUCAGUGGAAUACUGACUUUCACUGGAAUUCUGAUCUCACAUAUUAAUGUCUAAUCCAAAUACCUGUCAUUUCAAACAGGGGGCCUAUUUUAAAAUAUUAUUUAAAACUAUACAAGUAUCCCAAUGAUACUAAAAUGACACUGAUACAAUGGCAAUAAAAAAGUGAGGAAACAACAUGACUUUAACUGAAUAAAAAAUUAUAUUUUUUUCUCAUACAUUAUAAAUGUAAUUAUAUAUGUAUUUUGAAGGGAGUCCCUCACAAGGGCAUCAUCAUAUUUGUGGGUCUUUGGUAUUAAAAACUUUAAAAACCUGCUCAAAUCUGAUUGAAUGAGUGUUGUAAGACUGUACAAUAUUUUGUCACACUUUACUUUAGUUCUCUUGUUUUAACAUUGAUCUGUAACACAGUAGCUUAAUCUGUCAUGUCUGUUAAUAAAUUUUGCCAUUGCUCUCAGAAAUGUUCAAAUUCUUAUGUGUCUACAAUCUCCAAGCAGUGUCUACCAUAAUCCAAAGAAUUAACGGUGCUGUUCAUGUCCUGUGGUAGAUGCUGCAGAAAACUUGUGUGCACAAGCAUCACAGUGUCCCAUUAUCCUCGGUGUUCGCCACUGACAACAUUUUCUGGUGACAUAUGUUUACUGUCACAUCCUGAACACUUGGGUCAGCUGCCUCUCUACUCUUCUCAUCACAAACUCUGACAGCCUAACAAAGCAGUCAUUAGACAGCCUCUCAGACACGACUAGCACACCCCCUUUGCUUUAGGGAAAACUAGCAUAAUGAAAUAAAAUGCAGAGAGGACUUAGCAUCCGCCCAAAACAAACACGCACGAAACAAAACCUCCCUCAUCUCUUUCAGAUUUUCUUUUUUCUUUCCCUCCUCUGGUUCUUGAUCUCCAUAUUUAGCAUUAUGACAUUUUAAUUUGUGCAUCUUCAAAAUAGCACUGUCAGUGGUAUAAAUAUGGAGUACCACUCCUGUGAGAAAAGCCUUUAUACUUUAGUAGGUUAAAACUAAUACAAACAAAACUGGAAUUAUUAAUUAUAAAAAAGGAGAGAGAGGGAAAGAGAGAGAACGAGAGAGACGAAAUCCCCAGAUUUCAAUAUUAUUUGCAUUUCGAUUUUGAGCCUGAUUUUGAGCAACUUGACUGUUUUCCCUCCUCUUGCUUUCUCUCUAAUAUCUUGCAGGAUCAAAGGCUUUCAUUAGGUUUAACUCCUCCAAGCAUUGUUUGCCUCCCAGGACUACAACACAGUUCCCUCAGUGUGCCAGAUUCAGAAGAAUAAAGAAUUAGUUAUUCCUGGACUAAUUUGACAUCAAACAGUGGAGAGGAAGAUAAAAGUGACAAUGGUGACCGGGGAACAUUGGCCAUGUGUUUCCACAGGCCCCCAGGGCAGUCAACCUCACACUCUCGCACCUAGAAAAUACCUUUUAGAUGAAGAUGAUGGCUAAUAAUAG
This is a long non-coding RNA of Cyprinus carpio carpio, 5731 nucleotides long. The record is from Ensembl. NCBI's taxonomy places the organism in Eukaryota, Metazoa, Chordata, Actinopteri, Cypriniformes, Cyprinidae.